ACGGGUGAGUAACACGUGGAUAACCUACCUAUAAGACUGGGAUAACUUCGGGAAACCGGAGCUAAUACCGGAUAAUAUAUUGAACCGCAUGGUUCAAUAGUGAAAGACGGUUUUGCUGUCACUUAUAGAUGGAUCCGCGCCGCAUUAGCUAGUUGGUAAGGUAACGGCUUACCAAGGCAACGAUGCGUAGCCGACCUGAGAGGGUGAUCGGCCACACUGGAACUGAGACACGGUCCAGACUCCUACGGGAGGCAGCAGUAGGGAAUCUUCCGCAAUGGGCGAAAGCCUGACGGAGCAACGCCGCGUGAGUGAUGAAGGUCUUCGGAUCGUAAAACUCUGUUAUUAGGGAAGAACAAAUGUGUAAGUAACUAUGCACGUCUUGACGGUACCUAAUCAGAAAGCCACGGCUAACUACGUGCCAGCAGCCGCGGUAAUACGUAGGUGGCAAGCGUUAUCCGGAAUUAUUGGGCGUAAAGCGCGCGUAGGCGGUUUUUUAAGUCUGAUGUGAAAGCCCACGGCUCAACCGUGGAGGGUCAUUGGAAACUGGAAAACUUGAGUGCAGAAGAGGAAAGUGGAAU
Molecule: ribosomal RNA, 578 nt
Filed under: uncultured bacterium
Lineage: Bacteria
Description: bacterial SSU rRNA
Rfam family: Bacterial small subunit ribosomal RNA
Source: RNAcentral